Hypoxylon sp. CI-4A is the source of this 76-nucleotide non-coding RNA. Lineage: Eukaryota; Fungi; Ascomycota; Sordariomycetes; Xylariales; Hypoxylaceae. The record is from the annotation of a GenBank genome assembly.
GGAUGCGUGGUCUAGUUGGUAAGACAACCUGGACUAACAACCGUCAAGGUCGUGGGUUCAAUUCCCACCGGUGGCA